RNAcentral lists this ribosomal RNA (232 nucleotides) under uncultured bacterium. RNAcentral describes it as "partial 16S ribosomal RNA". It matches the Rfam family "Bacterial small subunit ribosomal RNA", at positions 99 to 334 of the family's 1533-position model. The record is from RNAcentral.
CGGACGGGUGAGUAAUGCCUGGGAAACUGCCUGAUGGAGGGGGAUAACUACUGGAAACGGUAGCUAAUACCGCAUAACGUCGCAAGACCAAAGAGGGGGACCUUCGGGCCUCUUGCCAUCGGAUGUGCCCAGAUGGGAUUAGCUAGUAGGUGGGGUAACGGCUCACCUAGGCGACGAUCCCUAGCUGGUCUGAGAGGAUGACCAGCCACACUGGAACUGAGACACGGUCCAG